This is a long non-coding RNA of Marmota monax (woodchuck), 435 nucleotides long. RefSeq lists it as uncharacterized. Lineage: Eukaryota; Metazoa; Chordata; Mammalia; Rodentia; Sciuridae. The transcript is spliced from 3 exons. The record is from RefSeq and is a predicted model, not a curated record.
UUUCACCCACUGACUUCAUGCCACGUUACUGCAGGGUCUGGCAGGCUGCCCUGGAGGGAGGUCAGUGUGAUGGCAGGAGCACUCGCUGGAAGGUGCUCUGAGGUCCCGUCCCAGCCCUGCCUUUGACUCUUGGAACCUGGCUCCAUGUGGCUAGUGAUUACCAUAUUGAACAGGAUGGUUAGCAGAGGAUGGGGGAAAACGUGUGUGUGGAAGGGGAAACAAGAACAUAAAACAGUGAUGUGCUUGGAAUGCCGAAAACGUUACCUAUGACUCCUGACCCAGGAAGUGAUUCAGGGGGCACUAAAUCAAAGACUGACCCUCGGGAUGGAGUUACGCCUUGGCGUUCCUAGGCUGGCCACCGAAGAGAGGAAAUCUUCAGAGGAAAGGGCUGCCUUGCAAAAAUGAGAUGAUUAAAUGAGAGACAUUUGAUCUUAA